GGACCCGCACAAGCGGUGGAGUAUGUGGUUUAAUUCGAAGCAACGCGCAGAACCUUACCUACCCUUAAAUCCCGGGACAAUCUCAGAGAUGAGACUUUCUCUUCGGAGACUCGGUGAUAGGUGCUGCAUGGCUGUCGUCAGCUCGUGUCGUAAGAUGUUCGGUUAAGUCCGAUAACGAGCGCAACCCCUAUCCUUAGUUACCAGCAUUAAGUUGGGGACUCUAGGGAGACUGCCGGUGUUAAACCGGAGGAAGGCGGGGAUGACGUCAAGUCCUCAUGGCCCUUACGGGUAGGGCUACACACGUACUACAAUGGCAGAAACAAACUGACGCAAGACCGUGAGGUG
This 345-nucleotide ribosomal RNA is filed under the name uncultured bacterium. Its description in RNAcentral is "bacterial SSU rRNA". It matches the Rfam family "Bacterial small subunit ribosomal RNA", at positions 917 to 1264 of the family's 1533-position model. The record is from RNAcentral.